RNAcentral lists this ribosomal RNA (376 nucleotides) under uncultured eukaryote. Its description in RNAcentral is "partial 18S ribosomal RNA". It matches the Rfam family "Eukaryotic small subunit ribosomal RNA", at positions 592 to 976 of the family's 1831-position model. The record is from RNAcentral.
CAAUAGCGUAUAUUUAAGUUGUUGCAGUUAAAAAGCUCGUAGUUGGAUUUCGGAUGGGAUUUGCCGGUCCGUCGUUACGAUGUGCACUGGCCAGUCCUAUCUUGUUGUCGGGGACUAGCUCCUUGGAUUCACUUCCUGGGACUAGGAGCUGACGAGGUUACUUUGAGUAAAUUAGAGUGUUCAAAGCAGGCUUUCGCUUGAAUACAUUAGCAUGGAAUAAUAAGAUAGGACUUUGGUGCUAUUUUGUUGGUUGAGCCUAAAGUAAUGAUUAAUAGGGAUAGUUGGGGGCACCUGUAUUGCGUUGUCAGAGGUGAAAUUCUUGGAUUUACGCAAGACAAACAGCUGCGAAAGCGUCUGCCAAGGAUGUUUUCAUUAA